AGCUCCAAUAGCGUAUAUUAAAGUUGUUGCAGUUAAAAGCUCGUAGUUGGAUUUCUGGGAGGGUGACAAUGUCCGUCUUCAGAUGUGUGCAGCGGCGCCUUUCCAUCCUUCUGUUAACGCCUCUCCGCAUUCAUUUGCUGGUGGCGGGCUCAGAUAUUUUACCUUGAGAAAAUUAGAGUGUUUCAAGCAGGCAUUGCACGGAAUACAUUAGCAUGGAAUAAUGGAAUAGGACUACGGUCUCUUUGUUGGUUUGAGGGACAGCAGUAAUGAUUAAUAGGGAUAGUUGGGGGCAUUAGUAUUUAAUUGUCAGAGGUGGAAUUCUCAGAUUUGUUAAAGACUAACUUAUGCGAAAGCAUUUGCCAAGGAUGUUUUCA
This 374-nucleotide ribosomal RNA is filed under the name uncultured eukaryote. RNAcentral describes it as "SSU rRNA". It matches the Rfam family "Eukaryotic small subunit ribosomal RNA", at positions 587 to 972 of the family's 1831-position model. The record is from RNAcentral.